CCUUGACAUCCAGAGAACUUAGCAGAGAUGCUUUGGUGCCUUCGGGAACUCUGAGACAGGUGCUGCAUGGCUGUCGUCAGCUCGUGUUGUGAAAUGUUGGGUUAACGUCCGCAACGAGCGCAACCCUUAUCCUUUGUUGCCAGCGGCUCGGCCGGGAACUCAAAGGAGACUGCCGGUGAUAAACCGGAGGAAGGUGGGGAUGACGUCAAGUCAUCAUGGCCCUUACGGCCAGGGCUACACACGUGCUACAAUGGCGCAUACAAAGAGAAGCGACCUCGCGAGAGCAAGCGGACCUCAUAAAGUGCGUCGUAGUCCGGAUUGGAGUCUGCAACUCGACUCCAUGAAGUCGGAAUCGCUAGUAAUCGUAGAUCAGAAUGCUACGGUGAAUACGUUCCCGGGCCUUGUACACACCGCCCGUCACACCAUGGGAGUGGGUUGCAAAAGAAGUAGGUAGCUUAACCGUUCGGGGGGGCGCUUACCACUUUGUGAUUCAUGACUGGGGUGAAGUCGUAACAAGGUAAGCGUAGACGU
RNAcentral lists this ribosomal RNA (531 nucleotides) under uncultured bacterium. Its description in RNAcentral is "bacterial SSU rRNA". It matches the Rfam family "Bacterial small subunit ribosomal RNA", at positions 979 to 1509 of the family's 1533-position model. The record is from RNAcentral.